This is a long non-coding RNA of Lathyrus oleraceus (garden pea), 1217 nucleotides long. RefSeq lists it as uncharacterized. NCBI's taxonomy places the organism in Eukaryota, Viridiplantae, Streptophyta, Magnoliopsida, Fabales, Fabaceae. The record is from RefSeq and is a predicted model, not a curated record. The transcript is spliced from 2 exons.
AAGAGUUCGUUUGGGCCAAAAGCCCAAUUCCCUCACAUCCAUAUCCGGAUUCUAACAAGCAUUUCCCCUAAUCUAACAGUUUCAUGCUCAAAACUUCUCAGGUCCACACGCGAGGACUCCUUCAUGGCACAGAACUUCACAUCUGAACUCUUCGUUUCAUUCAUCAUCGACGCGCAUCAACAAUCAAUCGAUCAAACCAAAAUCGAGAAAACGAUUUCAUCCCCAACAAAGAAACAAGAACGUAAUUGGAUCCGCGUGGGAUUUCGACAUCGAAACGCAAUCAUCAAACUUUAAUUCGAAUCGAAUUUGUGCGCGAGAUAAUAGCGAUUGGGGCUGGGAGACGUACCAGAUUCGUACCUUGCGCGGGGGAGGUAAUGGUGAAUCGUCGAUGUUGUUCACCGCGCCAAUUUGCGCCGUCGCUGAGUGACGAUGAAGGACGAAGACGAGUGAAGAUCGGAUGGAUUCACGGUUGAAGCGACGAGUCGGCUUUGGCCUCCGUGGUGCGAUGAAGACUUUGUGACGACGAGUAGAAGAAUGAGAAGCGCCAGACGAACACCGUCGAAUCGUGAAAAGGUGAAAUCACGCUUCCGUUUUCUGAAUCGCAAAUGCUUUCUUUGUAAGAUUUGCUGGACGAAGAAUAUGAAGUUUGAUUAGAUGAGGAAUAUUAAGUUCUGAUGGAUGAAGUUGUUGGCGCGUGUGCGAUGAAGACCGUCCACCGUUGAUGACGGCGACAUACCCUGUUCCGGUGGUUUUAGUGUGCUGCUAGAGUUGGCUUUUGUUGUGCAGAUUUCAAUUGCCUUUUCAAUGUCACAGCUUGGAACGUUGUUGGUAGUCGAUUUUGCAGAUUUUCUGUUGGGAUUGGCCUUGGGAUGUUUGUCGUUUCUAGUCGGAUUCGCGUUUUUGCAUUGCCGGCGUUGGUUGCACAGCGUCUCAAUUGCCAUAUCAUUGUGCUGUUUCACGUUUCAGCUUGUGGCUGCGUUCAUUAUGAGCUGCGUUUUGUUGCAGCUGGUAUGCUUUGGUGCGAUAGAUUGCUGCGUUUUAGCUUGCCUUCGGUAGCCUGUUUUGGCAGCAACUUUUGCUUCUUUUCACAUUAGCUUAUGAAUGGUUUAUGUUAUAGAUUUGAUUUUUUAAAGAGAAUGGACAUGGAAAUGAUAUGGGAUUUGUUUUUGUUGGAUAAUUAUUUUGAUUGAAUGAACUCACAUAAUGGGUUAUGGAUA